AUACAAAUAAUGGUAUGCAAAGAAAGCCCUUCUUGUCCUGAAAAAAACAAUGUAAUAAAAUAACUUGUAUGGGAACAGUAAAUGAGAGAGAGGAAAAUUACAGCUAAACACAAACACCACAAAAGUGUUAAAACUCUGGUCCUUAACGUACAACAUAACCAAAACAGUCCCGAAGGGGUUAAAAUCUCCCAUUGAUAACAAAUAACCCAGCUGUGCAGCCUUGUUAAUCUGUUUUUUUAAAUCCUUCCUAAAUAAUGGAUCCAUCUAAAUUAACAGCCCAGUCAUGUGUCUAAUCCGAUCAUGUUUCUAUUAUGCCUAUUAUGUCAUAUUUCUUAGUGUAUUGCCUUUAUUUCCCCCAUUUUGUUAUUUAGGCUCCUUUUUUAAUUUGUUUAGUUGUUUCCUUCUCAGAUCUCCAUAUUUGCCCAGUUUAGUAAGUAGACCCCUGUUGAUUUGUUUUUAAACUUAAUUUUGUGUAUGCAUUUUUUAAUUUUAUUUUUAAUAAAUUAGAAAUUGUGCAAAAUUGACUGAUAAAUUCUUAAUUUUACCAAAGCUGGAAAAAUACAUGAGAUGAAGAUUUUUUUUUUUUAAUUUGACAAUUCUUCUCUCAAUCUUGCAGUUCCUUUGUUUAUGAGGCAUAGUUAAAUUUUUUAUUUUUUUUUGCAUCUUUCGGGCUAGAAUAAUACUGUGUUGGCAUUCAAAAAUGAUUGAAUUUUUUGUAUGGUUUGUUUUCAGUACAUCAUUGGUUUCUGUAGUCCCUAAUUCCAUGUUUGGACCAAGUUCCAGCUAUUCUACGCUUGGACAGUUGGCAUCUCAAGGAGGUUGGUCCUGCAAAAUAUUAUUUAGAUUAUUUAUUUCUGGGCUGUAAAAGAACUGUCUCUUAAUCUCGGUAUUUCCAACCUAUCAACUUCCUUUCACAUAAAUCUACAGUAACUCCCUUAAUCAUUUUCUCUCAGUAGGUAUUGUUCUGCGUCCCGAGUUGGAGUUCUGUCGCAAGGUGUUGAAGUUUAUUUGUCUGGAAUUAGCCACUGACACUUCUGACCAGUUGGUUCCAGUAUAUAUCAACUCCUCUGAGAACGCUCCUACAUAUGCCCACUCCGAAACAGCUGCUGAACAUGAAAUUGUUGACAGCAUCUAGAUAAUAUCUAAUUACAUUAAUUAUGCCAUUUAGAAUCCUCAAACAUAAAGUAUCAUAAUUAUAACAGUUCAGGCAGUUCAUCAUUCAAUGUUAUGACUUCCAGAUUAACAUCAUUGUUGAUAGCGCAUUUUGUAGUUUUGAAUUUUUUUAUAUUUAAUAAUUAGACCUCCCUGUCCACCCUUAUGCUCAGAGUUGG
Pelobates cultripes (western spadefoot toad) is the source of this 1331-nucleotide non-coding RNA. NCBI's taxonomy places the organism in Eukaryota, Metazoa, Chordata, Amphibia, Anura, Pelobatidae. The record is from the annotation of a GenBank genome assembly.